UACGUAGGGGGCAAGCGUUGUCCGGAUUUAUUGGGCGUAAAGAGCGUGUAGGCGGCCAAGCAGGUCAGCUGUGAAAACUCGAGGCUCAACCUCGAGACGUCGGUUGAAACCGCUUGGCUAGAGUCCGGAAGAGGAGAGUGGAAUUCCCGGUGUAGCGGUGAAAUGCGCAGAUAUCGGGAAGAACACCCGUGGCGAAGGCGGCUCUCUGGGACGGUACUGACGCUGAGACGCGAAAAGCGUGGGGAGCGAACGAGG
RNAcentral lists this ribosomal RNA (255 nucleotides) under uncultured bacterium. RNAcentral's name for it is "partial 16S ribosomal RNA". It matches the Rfam family "Bacterial small subunit ribosomal RNA", at positions 524 to 777 of the family's 1533-position model. The record is from RNAcentral.